CUUGCUAUAUCUGAUUGAUGUCUUUUGCCUGAUUCAGUGUGCAUCAUUCCUCCAGCCUACCUGGGAACUAUCCCCAGGAGAGUCCACCAGAGAGAGACAAGAUAGUCUAAGGCAGGGGUCCCCAACUCCCGGUACCCGUUCAUAGCCAGUUAGGAGCCGAACCACGCAGCAGAAGGUGAGCUGCAGGGUCGAAGCUUCAUCUGUAUUUACAGCUGCUCCCCCACCCCCCGACCAUUGCUCCAAUUACCGCCUGAGCUCACCUCCUGUCAGAUCGGCAGCAGCAUUAGACUCUCACAGAAGCACGAACCCUAUUGUGAACUGUGCAAGAAAGGUAUGUAGGCUGCCCGCUCCUUAUG
This 356-nucleotide long non-coding RNA is filed under the name Homo sapiens (human). RNAcentral's name for it is "non-protein coding lnc-ZKSCAN1-2:1". The record is from RNAcentral. Lineage: Eukaryota; Metazoa; Chordata; Mammalia; Primates; Hominidae.